Molecule: long non-coding RNA, 2220 nt
Organism: Leucoraja erinaceus (little skate)
Lineage: Eukaryota; Metazoa; Chordata; Chondrichthyes; Rajiformes; Rajidae
Exons: 2
Source: RefSeq, a predicted model, not a curated record
ACGUUUCAAUAAAAGACGGAUUCGGUCUGGAAGUAUAAGCUGCCAUUUCACGUUGGAAAGAUGCCAGGCGUCAGCACUUUAACCUGGAGAGGUGAACUCAAACCCCACGACCUGCCUUUUAAUUAAUAUGACAACUGGAGCCUAAACUACAGAUUUUGGCAACAACAGGCUAAUUCAAGAAAACCAAAACAUCUCAGAUUCUGAAAUAUAAAACACAAACAGAAAUACUGAAUGCACUUGGUAGGUUAGGCAGAUAGAAGUCAGAUGAUAUGAUGAAGGGUCUUCUAUCUAAAAUUUAUCACUGGAUUUUUCUUUUCUUGGGGCUACCUGACCUUUUGAGCAUUUCCAAUUCUCUGUUUUUUUUUGCUAAAAUAAUUGGUGAUUAUUUUUUUUUUUUUUUUUUUUUUUCGUAGUUUUAAUAUUUCCAAUUGCAGUGAACACUCAAUCCUAUCAAUGCAGGUUAAUCUACUCAGGUCAUCUUCAGAAAUGAAAGGUGACAAAGGUACAAUAAUUAAGAAUAGCGUAAGACUGAGUCCUGUUUACCUGAAUACAGGGGAAUAAAGCGUAUCGAAAAAGGACAACAAAUCGGAUCAGGCAACGAAUGUAUCAUGAGUUGCUUACAAGGUAUGUGCGGGCCAUGUUGAAGAAUGGCCGUGAGUGUUUUUUACAUGGCACUAACCUGAACACUGGAGAACUAAAGGCAUCCUUGUAUGGCGAGGCCCCACAGAAGACCCUGUCAAUGUCAAAAGAAAUAUGUUCUGUUCUAUAGUUUCAGCUCGUUGACAUCAAGCACAAGAUUUUUACUGCAAACUCCCAGAGUUAAUCAGUAAUGUGCAAACAGUUGGACAUUCUAAAAUGACUUGGCACCACUCUGGGAUUGCAAGGGGGGAUCAAGGAUUGAGCAUCUGUAACAAAGCCAAGUAUAGAGGGCCAAAGAACAUUCAGUUCUUGACUAAACCAUACUGGCAAAAUGGGAUGUAUUAUCAAGGGAGGUAACAAUUAAUAAACUGAAGAGAGACUCUCUGGGGUUCAAAGUCUGCACUUUAUCUGUUGUUACUACUUACUUUUUAUGGUUUAAUAUAAAAGUAUAUAUGUACUUUUUAAUAUUCCUUAAAUGUUCAAUGUGUAUUGUAUAGGAUUCAUUAAGUCAAUGAACAGUCUCAAACGAAUCCUUAUAAUUCCAUUGCGUUGUAUUUUACAGAAUCACUAACACACUUUCACUGAGGGCUUUCUACAGACAUACUUUAAGCCAAGGUGUCUGAUUACUGAACAAACCCUCGUUGAAACCCUGGAGUAAAUUUGACAGCAUAAUUAAAGACAUUGGGCCAGAAAAGGUCAUGUAGGGAUAAAUGACCAAAUGUUUACACUGAGGUGAAUAGGGAGGAGAGGUUUGGGGAGGGAAUUCUGGAGUUUGGGGCAAAGAGACCAAUGUCAUGGUCAAUAGUCAUAUGAGAAAAGCAUCAAACUGUUGCGAGGAUUGCAGUUUUGUGGACAGUUUGCAUGAUUUAGGAAGUAUGAUGAGUGGGAGGAGCCAAUAGCCGUGGGGUUUGAACACAAGGUUGAAGAUUUUAAAAUCGGGGUGUUCAGCAACAAGUUGCCACAAGGUCAGUGUGUCCAGGGGAGGAUGGGUGAUUGAAAUUUGCUGCCAAUUUAAGAUGAGCACAAUCUUACGAGGGCAGAAGUUGGGACAGCUGAAAAUCUUCUAUUUAACAAGUGGUUGCCUACUACAAUAAUAUAUGACUUUUAUUUCAUGCCUGUUAAACACUAGUUUCAUGUCAAAUUCCUCACUGGGUAUCUCCCAAACAACUCAAUAGAUGAGUGAUGACUGAACCGUCCUCUCACUGACUAGAAAGUAGUCUAGUUUCUAUUUAAACUUUCUAUUUAAAGUCCAAUAAAGUCCGAGGUCUAGAAGGGUCUCCACCCAAAAUGUCACCUAUUCCUUUUCUCCAGAGAUGCUGCCUGUCCCGUUGAGUUAGUUCAGGAAUUUGUGUCUCUUAGAAAGUGGCCCAGUUCUUCCAUCUACCACAUUGGAUACCUUUGAACUACCUUUAAUCGGACUUUAUUGGACUUUAUCUUGCACUAAAUGUUUUACCCUUUAUCCUGUAUCUGUACUCGGCAGUCAGCUUGAUGGUAAUCAUGCAUAGUCUUUUCGCUGAAUGGUUAACAUGCAACAAAAAGCUCUUCACUAAUCCUCGGUACGCGUGACAAUAAUAAACUAAA